CCCUUAGAUGUCCUGGGCCGCACGCGCGCUACACUGAGUGUCUGAGAUACGAGUCUGCCUGGUCCGGCAAGGUCUAGGUAAUCGCUAAAAGACACAUCAUGCUUGGGGUAGAUUAUUGCAAAUAUUAAUCUUGAACGAGGAAUUCCUAGUAAGCGCAAGUCAACAGCUUGCGUUGAUUACGUCCCUGCCCUUUGUACACACCGCCCGUCGCUCCUACCGAUUGAGUGAUUCGGUGAAUAAUUCGGACUGCAGCAUUGCUUGGAUUCCGAGCUUUGCGGCGGAAAGUUUAGUGAACCUCAUCACUUAGAGGAAGGAGAAGUCGUAACA
RNAcentral lists this ribosomal RNA (327 nucleotides) under uncultured eukaryote. RNAcentral describes it as "partial 18S ribosomal RNA". It matches the Rfam family "Eukaryotic small subunit ribosomal RNA", at positions 1470 to 1796 of the family's 1831-position model. The record is from RNAcentral.